UUUUAUGGAGAGUUUGAUCCUGGCUCAGGAUGAACGCUGGCGGCGUGCCUAAUACAUGCAAGUCGAGCGAAC
This 72-nucleotide ribosomal RNA is filed under the name Staphylococcus aureus. Its description in RNAcentral is "partial 16S ribosomal RNA". It matches the Rfam family "Bacterial small subunit ribosomal RNA", at positions 1 to 71 of the family's 1533-position model. RNAcentral also lists the same sequence under 2 other names. The record is from RNAcentral. Lineage: Bacteria; Bacillati; Bacillota; Bacilli; Caryophanales; Staphylococcaceae.